AAAUUCUGUAAAUAAGCAUAUUUAUUGAUCAUAUGACGGUUAAAAUCAUUAAUUAAGAUUGACAUAGCAUUCAUACAAGAGAUGAAAACAGUUUUUAUGACUUGAAAAAAUGCCAUGGGAUAAAUUGAAAGGUUGCAAGAUUGCACACUUGUCACUGUAUAGUGUAUAAAACAACAGGAUUGGUGAGUUUCUAAUAAAUGUUUAGAUCACUGAUGAUCCCAGAGAUGUACAAAGACAUUCAUCAUCAUUUAAUUUUUCUUUUAUGUCAAUCAUUUUAUUAAAAUAUUAUAGUUUUAAUUAUGUUGUAAUGUUCAUAUGUUUCAUAUAUAUCAC
RNAcentral lists this long non-coding RNA (333 nucleotides) under Mytilus galloprovincialis (Mediterranean mussel). Lineage: Eukaryota; Metazoa; Mollusca; Bivalvia; Mytilida; Mytilidae. The record is from RNAcentral.